Molecule: ribosomal RNA, 457 nt
Filed under: uncultured bacterium
Lineage: Bacteria
Description: partial 16S ribosomal RNA
Rfam family: Bacterial small subunit ribosomal RNA
Source: RNAcentral
GAUGAACGCUGGCGGCGUGCCUAAUACAUGCAAGUCGAGCGGUAAGGCCCUUCGGGGUACACGAGCGGCGGACGGCUGAGUAACACGUAGGAACGUACCCCAAACUGAGGGAUAAGCACCAGAAAUGGUGUCUAAUACCGCAUGUGGCCCACGGGCUAAAGCUCCGGCGGUUUGGGAACGGCCUGCGUCCGAUUAGCUAGUUGGUAGUGUAAUAGACUACCAAGGCGACGAUCGGUAGCUGGUCUGAGAGGAUGAUCAGCCAGACUGGGACCGAGACACGGCCCAGACUCCUACGGGAGGCAGCAGUAGGGAAUUUUCCACAAUGGGGGCAACCCUGAUGGAGCAACGCCGCGUGCAGGAUGAAGGCCUUCGGGUUGUAAACUGCUUUUAUCUGUGACGAUUAUGACGGUAGCAGAUGAAUAAGGACCUGCUAACUACGUGCCAGCAGCCGCUGUAA